AGAGAGCGAAUAUUGGCACAAUGGGGGAAACCCUGAUGCAGCAACGCCGCGUGAGUGAUGACGGUCUUCGGAUUGUAAAGCUCUGUCUUUAGGGACGAUAAUGACGGUACCUAAGGAGGAAGCCACGGCUAACUACGUGCCAGCAGCCGCGGUAAAUAAA
RNAcentral lists this ribosomal RNA (160 nucleotides) under Clostridium sp. BN2(2010). Its description in RNAcentral is "partial 16S ribosomal RNA". It matches the Rfam family "Bacterial small subunit ribosomal RNA", at positions 352 to 529 of the family's 1533-position model. RNAcentral also lists the same sequence under 1 other name. The record is from RNAcentral. Lineage: Bacteria; Bacillati; Bacillota; Clostridia; Eubacteriales; Clostridiaceae.